GAAAAUGCGAUAUGCAGUGUGAAUUGCAGAACCACGAAUCAUCAGAUCUUUGAACGCAUCUGGCGCCGAUACAAUCGGCAUACUUGUUUCAGUGUGCUUAAACAACCAAACCUAAAUGUAGGAGAAGUUCUCCUAUGAAAUAAGUGCUCCUUGCAGCUGUCACAUUUAUAUGUGUGCUGUUUUGGAAUAUAAUGACUUAAUGUCACCUGAAAUCAAGUAAGAUGACCCGCUGGACUUAA
RNAcentral lists this unclassified non-coding RNA (239 nucleotides) under uncultured fungus. Its description in RNAcentral is "sequence contains ITS1". The stretch from base 1 to 97 matches the Rfam family "5.8S ribosomal RNA", at positions 49 to 154 of the family's 154-position model. The record is from RNAcentral. Lineage: Eukaryota; Fungi.